This 1240-nucleotide ribosomal RNA is filed under the name metagenome. RNAcentral's name for it is "bacterial LSU rRNA". It matches the Rfam family "Bacterial large subunit ribosomal RNA", at positions 1564 to 2815 of the family's 2925-position model. The record is from RNAcentral.
UGAAUACGAGAUGCUACGGCGUCGAAGCAGUCUAUGUCAUACUUCCAAGAAAAGCUCGCACUGUCAUAAACAAAUAAUGCCUGUACCAUAACCGACACAGGUGGGUAGGUAGAGUAUACUAAGGGGCGCGAGAUAACUCUCUCUAAGGAACUCGGCAAAAUGACUCCGUAACUUCGGGAGAAGGAGUGCCUUAUUUAUAAGGUUGCAAUAACAAGAUCCAAGCAACUGUUUAUCAAAAACACAGGUCUCCGCUAAGUCGUAAGACGAUGUAUGGGGGCUGACGCCUGCCCAGUGCCAGAAGGUUAAAGAAGUUGGUUAGCAUUCGCGAAGCUGAUAACUGAAGCCCUGGUGAACGGCGGCCGUAACAAUAACGGUCCUAGGUAGCGAAAUUCCUUGUCGGGUAAGUUCCGACCCGCACGAAAGGCGUAAUGAUUUGGAUACUGUCUCGGAGAGGGGCUCGGUGAAAUAGACUUGUCUGUGAAGAUGCGGACUACCUGCACCAGGACAGAAAGACCCUAUGAAGCUUUACUGUAACUUGAGAUUGAAAUUGGACUUUACUUGCGCAGUAUAGGUGGGAGGCGUUGAUAAUAUUCUUGCGGGAUUAUUUGAGCCAUCAGUGAGAUACCACUCUUGUAAUGUUAGAUUUCUAACUUUGUAUCAUUAUCUGGUCAAAGGACAGUUUCAGGCGGGCAGUUUGACUGGGGCGGUCGCCUCCUAAACGGUAACGGAGGCGCACAAAGGUUUCCUCUGAACGGGUAGAAAUCGUAUCUAGAGUGUAAAGGCAUAAGGAAGCUUGACUGUGAGACCUACAAGUCGAGCAGGGACGAAAGUCGGUCUUAGUGAUCUGACGGUGCUGAGUGGAAAGGCCGUCACUCAACGGAUAAAAGUUACUCUAGGAUAACAGGCUGAUCUCCCCCAAGAGUUCACAUCGACGGGGAGGUUUGGCACCUCGAUGUCGGCUCAUCGCAUCCUGGGGCGGUAGUACGUCCCAAGGGUUGGGCUGUUCGCCCAUGAAAGCGGUACGCGAGCUGGGUUCAGAACGUCGUGAGACAGUUCGGUCCAUAUCCGGUGUAGGCGUUAGAAUAUUGAGAGGAGCCUUCUUUAGUACGAGAGGACCGAGAAGGACAUACCUCUGGUGUACCAGUUAUCGUGCCAACGGUAAACGCUGGGUAGCUAUGUAUGGAGUGGAUAACCGCUGAAAGCAUCUAAGUGGGAAGCCCACCUCAAGAUAAGUAUUCUC